UGGGGAAUAUUGCACAAUGGGCGCAAGCCUGAUGCAGCCAUGCCGCGUGUAUGAAGAAGGCCUUCGGGUUGUAAAGUACUUUCAGCGGGGAGGAAGGGAGUAAAGUUAAUACCUUUGCUCAUUGACGUUACCCGCAGAAGAAGCACCGGCUAACUCCGUGCCAGCAGCCGCGGUAAUACGGAGGGUGCAAGCGUUAAUCGGAAUUACUGGGCGUAAAGCGCACGCAGGCGGUUUGUUAAGUCAGAUGUGAAAUCCCCGGGCUCAACCUGGGAACUGCAUCUGAUACUGGCAAGCUUGAGUCUCGUAGAGGGGGUUAGAAUUCCAGGUGUAGCGGUGAAAUGCGUAGAGAUCUGGAGGAAUACCGGUGGCGAAGGCGGCCCCCUGGACGAAGACUGACGCUCAGGUGCGAAAGCGUGGGGAGCAAACAGG
This 429-nucleotide ribosomal RNA is filed under the name Chloroflexota bacterium. Its description in RNAcentral is "Chloroflexi bacterium partial 16S ribosomal RNA". It matches the Rfam family "Bacterial small subunit ribosomal RNA", at positions 355 to 776 of the family's 1533-position model. The record is from RNAcentral. Lineage: Bacteria; Bacillati; Chloroflexota.